RNAcentral lists this long non-coding RNA (913 nucleotides) under Vigna radiata. RNAcentral's name for it is "long non-coding RNA (VRAD_LNC017166)". Lineage: Eukaryota; Viridiplantae; Streptophyta; Magnoliopsida; Fabales; Fabaceae. The record is from RNAcentral.
AAAGGCACAUGCUGUAGCACACACACGUGAGACUACUCUCCUUUCUACUUUCUCACUCCAAAAUCCAUACAUACAAUACCAAUAAAAUAAUAAAAAUGAGACCACUUCUCUUCCAUCAUUUAAUGCAUAAAAGUAAAGCAAACAAGGCUUUGGAAACCAAUUCCACGCUACUUUCAUGUCCAAACACAUCAAAUUUCAUCUUUUUUACCUCAUGGUGGGACCCACAUGACAAGGUGGAAAGUAAAAAGAGUUAGGAGCCUUUUUGGUCUUGAGAGGGUUAGAACUUAAGACCAAGCACACAUCCCUCCCAUGCACACACAACAACCACUAGACCAAGCUCCAUCCGCUGAUAUAAUAGCGCAAACAAUUAUAUUUAAAUACGUUUCCAAGCUUUUUCGAAAAUUAAUAUAAAACCAUUAUCAAUUUAAUUUUCUUCCCUUCCUUAAAUAUUUCUCAACAACGUUUCACCUCAAAAUUUAUUAUCUAAUACCACCAAAAUUAAAUUGCUUAAGGUAAGAAAUCAUUUUAUUUAUACGGGUCUUACAUUAGUGUGUGUUGUGUUUUGUCUUGUGUUGUGUGUAUGAUGUUCUGUUUUGUGUGUGAUGUUAUGUAUUGUUGCAUUUAGAUAGCCUUAGUUGCAUAUUUUCAUUGCAUUCUUCUUUCCCCCUUUCUUUCUACAUGUCUACCUAUUAUGAUUUUGUGAAUACUGCUUCUUCUACCUGUGUCUAUGAUUAUGAUUCUCCUUUCGGAUCUAACUCUGAUAUGACUAUUAUGAUUCUACAUAUUCUGCUGACUUUUAUGUUGAGAACAAUAUGACUCAUCCUCCCCUUCUUGAGAGUGAUCCUAGGGAGCCAGCUUCACUUAAUGAGGAUGAUGUUCAUUGCGUUCUCACCUUUGGAAUGAUACAUUUGCU